Molecule: ribosomal RNA, 455 nt
Filed under: fungal sp. 33 CC 01-25
Lineage: Eukaryota; Fungi
Description: eukaryotic LSU rRNA
Rfam family: 5.8S ribosomal RNA (bases 156-310)
Source: RNAcentral
GGAUCAUUACUGAGUUAGGGUCUCAAGCCCGACCUCCUAUCCUUUGUCAAAAUACCACGUUGCUUCGGCGGGCUUUAGACCGUCGAUAGCCUCCUUAUAAACUCGGAGAAAUGUGUCGUCUAAAACAAUGCGGGAGCAAUCCUGAAAUUAAACAAAACUUUCAACAACGGAUCUCUUGGUUCUGGCAUCGAUGAAGAACGCAGCGAAAUGCGAUAAGUAAUGCGAAUUGCAGAAUUUCCGUGAGUCAUCGAAUCUUUGAACGCACAUUGCGCCCUUUGGCAUUCCGAAGGGCAUGCCUGUUCGAGCGUCAUUAUCACCCUAAACAUCUAGUUUAUGUUGGGUUAAAUUUGCUUCAAAUUGACCUCAAAGAUAAUGACAGCGUCUGACGACCGUAGAUGCAACGAGCUCUCUCUCCGCACGCAUCGAAGCGUCGUGGGAACCUGUCGUACCUAUCA